This is a small nuclear RNA of Prolemur simus (greater bamboo lemur), 117 nucleotides long. Its record names the gene U5. It matches the Rfam family "U5 spliceosomal RNA". Rfam says of the family: U5 RNA is a component of both types of known spliceosome. The precise function of this molecule is unknown, though it is known that the 5' loop is required for splice site selection and p220 binding, and that both the 3' stem-loop and the Sm site are important for Sm protein binding and cap methylation. NCBI's taxonomy places the organism in Eukaryota, Metazoa, Chordata, Mammalia, Primates, Lemuridae. The record is from Ensembl.
AUACUCUGGUUUCUCUUCUGGACAAACAAAUCUUUUACCUUUCAGUAAAGAUUUCCAUGGAGAGGAGCAGUUAUGAGUUGGUAACCAAAUUUUUUGAGAUCUUGCUCAGGCAAGGCU